RNAcentral lists this ribosomal RNA (253 nucleotides) under uncultured bacterium. Its description in RNAcentral is "partial 16S ribosomal RNA". It matches the Rfam family "Bacterial small subunit ribosomal RNA", at positions 524 to 776 of the family's 1533-position model. The record is from RNAcentral.
UACGGAGGGAGCUAGCGUUGUUCGGAAUUACUGGGCGUAAAGCGCGCGUAGGCGGCUUUGUAAGUUAGAGGUGAAAGCCCGGGGCUCAACCCCGGAACUGCCUUUAAAACUGCAUCGCUUGAAUCCGGGAGAGGUGAGUGGAAUUCCGAGUGUAGAGGUGAAAUUCGUAGAUAUUCGGAAGAACACCAGUGGCGAAGGCGACUUCCUGGCCUGUUCUUGACGCUGAGGCGCGAAAGCUAGGGGAGCAAACGGG